Molecule: long non-coding RNA, 179 nt
Organism: Ostrinia nubilalis (European corn borer)
Lineage: Eukaryota; Metazoa; Arthropoda; Insecta; Lepidoptera; Crambidae
Exons: 3
Source: RefSeq, a predicted model, not a curated record
UUGAGUUUUUAGUGUUUUGACAGAUAAAAAAUAGUUUUGUUUUGUUUUUGUUGUUUUAUUUUUUAUUUUGAAGGAUAACGAAUUUACGUUCUGAGGGUGGCGUCGUUAGUUUGUGUGGUGGUGUGUGUGAGUGUAGUGCUUUGCCAGUGAAAUAUUUCCAAAGUUUGUAAAUUCAGUGU